GUCAUAGCGACUUUUGGGAUAGUUUGCUAUCGACAAAGGGAGACAAAGUCAAGGGGUGAAGGGAAAGGAGGGCCAAGUAGAGCCUCCACGACCCUCGGCUUCCUCCUCACCAGCUCCCCCUCCCUCCAAGUCCAGUAAGAAGUUGGGCCAAGCUGGAAGGGAUUGACCGGGUUGCUUGUCUGGAGAUGGAGCCACUACAGGCGGGCCUGGGCGCCUGGAGUCGGGCAUGAAAGAAAAUAGCGCCUCAUCGCUCUUAUCUAAGCCCAGAGGUCCAGGGGACAACCUGAGGGCCCUGAAGUGUUUCAAUACCAUGUACCAGCUUGACUUCUCUACAUGUCCUUUGGAUUGCCCAAAAGCAAAAUCUCAGAGGGGCCAAGGACCUUCUAGGGCUGGCUCCCUCAGGGCCUCCUAUAGAGCAGCUCCUUGAGUCGGGCCUUAUAGCCACCAGAAAGUCACCUCGCCGCAGGAAAGCUAUAAAGAGCUGCUCCAGAGGCGCCGAAAGAGGGUAGACUUCGCUUGAAAAGAUCGAGAAUGGAGGAGGGGAUCGGCACUCACUUGCAGACAUCAACAGUUUCCAGAAAAUUCGGUUCAAUUCCUUCACCACGGACCCACCAACCAAGGAGCUGGCAAAACCCACUAACCAACCAGGAGAACACAGACCCGGUUUGUCUUUUGACAACCGAGUGGAACUGACGGGGCCGGCGCCUGCCCUGCGGGUCCCCUCCCUUGGCUGAGAAGAAAACCAAAUAAACCUUGAACAGCCUUGGCUUCGAAAAAAAAAAAAA
Molecule: long non-coding RNA, 785 nt
Filed under: Homo sapiens (human)
Lineage: Eukaryota; Metazoa; Chordata; Mammalia; Primates; Hominidae
Description: HOXB cluster antisense RNA 3, transcript variant 8 (HOXB-AS3)
Source: RNAcentral